UUGUUGGAAUGAAGGUAAUAGAUAUUUCGUAAACCAUAGAUGAGUUAUGAAAGGUCAAAAUUUUAUAAUUGUUAAUAGGAAUAGUACGGCCAGGUUGGGAAUGCCAUCCAAUUCUGACGUAAUUCUUUCUUUAAUAAUGGGGAAGAAAGAAUCUUCAUUACUUUCCAAAGAAGGGAACUUAAGGUCAGUUGGAGAUUGGGGCUGCCAUAAAAUAUGUUGAUUAUGUUACGUGAAUAAAAUAAAUUGUUGAUUAAAAAAUAGUUUUAUGGAUGAAAUAAAUUAUAUUGUUGUGAUA
RNAcentral lists this long non-coding RNA (295 nucleotides) under Citrus x clementina. RNAcentral describes it as "Citrus clementina (C. clementina) long non-coding RNA (CCLE_LNC004266)". The record is from RNAcentral. Lineage: Eukaryota; Viridiplantae; Streptophyta; Magnoliopsida; Sapindales; Rutaceae.